RNAcentral lists this transfer RNA (75 nucleotides) under Stegodyphus mimosarum. It matches the Rfam family "tRNA". Rfam says of the family: Transfer RNA (tRNA) molecules are approximately 80 nucleotides in length. Their secondary structure includes four short double-helical elements and three loops (D, anti-codon, and T loops). Further hydrogen bonds mediate the characteristic L-shaped molecular structure. tRNAs have two regions of fundamental functional importance: the anti-codon, which is responsible for specific mRNA codon recognition, and the 3' end, to which the tRNAs corresponding amino acid is attached (by aminoacyl-tRNA synthetases). tRNAs cope with the degeneracy of the genetic code in two manners: having more than one tRNA (with a specific anti-codon) for a particular amino acid; and 'wobble' base-pairing, i.e. permitting non-standard base-pairing at the 3rd anti-codon position. The record is from Rfam by way of RNAcentral. Lineage: Eukaryota; Metazoa; Arthropoda; Arachnida; Araneae; Eresidae.
GCAUUCGUGGUGUAGUGUGGUCAGCACGCUGGGCGCGUAUUCCAGAGGUCCGUGGUUCGAGUCCCCGUGAAGGCA